This 810-nucleotide ribosomal RNA is filed under the name Xenopenidiella formica. RNAcentral's name for it is "partial 28S ribosomal RNA". It matches the Rfam family "Eukaryotic large subunit ribosomal RNA", at positions 75 to 919 of the family's 3401-position model. Lineage: Eukaryota; Fungi; Ascomycota; Dothideomycetes; Mycosphaerellales; Teratosphaeriaceae. The record is from RNAcentral.
UUGCCCUAGUAACGGCGAGUGAAGCGGCAACAGCUCAAAUUUGAAAUCUGGCGCAAGCCCGAGUUGUAAUUUGUAGAGGAUGCUUCUGGGCAGCGGCCGGUCUAAGUUCCUUGGAACAGGACGUCACAGAGGGUGAGAAUCCCGUAUGUGAUCGGUUGGCACCCGCUACGUAGCUCCUUCGACGAGUCGAGUUGUUUGGGAAUGCAGCUCUAAAUGGGAGGUAAAUGCCUUCUAAAGCUAAAUACCGGCCAGAGACCGAUAGCGCACAAGUAGAGUGAUCGAAAGAUGAAAAGCACUUUGGAAAGAGAGUUAAAAAGCACGUGAAAUUGUUGAAAGGGAAGCGCAUGCAACCAGACUUGUCGGCGGUGUUCCGCCGGUCUUUUGACCGGUCUACUCGCCGUCGGCAGGCCAGCAUCAUCUGGGUGCGCCGGAUAAAGGCCUUGGGAAUGUAGCUCCUCGGAGUGUUAUAGCCCUUGGUGCAAUACGGUGCCGCCCGGGUGAGGUCCGCGCUUCGGCUAGGAUGCUGGCGUAAUGGUUGUCUGCGGCCCGUCUUGAAACACGGACCAAGGAGUCUAACAUCUAUGCGAGUGUUCGGGUGUCAAACCCCUACGCGCAAUGAAAGUGAACGGAGGUGGGAACUUCGGUGCACCAUCGACCGAUCCUGAUGUCCUCGGAUGGAUUUGAGUAAGAGCAUAGCUGUUGGGACCCGAAAGAUGGUGAACUAUGCCUGAAUAGGGUGAAGCCAGAGGAAACUCUGGUGGAGGCUCGCAGCGGUUCUGACGUGCAAAUCGAUCGUCAAAUUUGGGUAUA